Molecule: ribosomal RNA, 497 nt
Filed under: uncultured bacterium
Lineage: Bacteria
Description: partial 16S ribosomal RNA
Rfam family: Bacterial small subunit ribosomal RNA
Source: RNAcentral
GACGAACGCUGGCGGCGUGCCUAAUACAUGCAAGUCGAGCGAUGAAGCUUGGUGCUUGCACCAAUUUGAAGAGCAGCGAACGGGUGAGUAACGCGUGGGGAAUCUGCCUUUGAGCGGGGGACAACAUUUGGAAACGAAUGCUAAUACCGCAUAACAACUUUAAACAUAAGUUUUAAGUUUGAAAGAUGCAAUUGCAUCACUCAAAGAUGAUCCCGCGUUGUAUUAGCUAGUUGGUGAGGUAAAGGCUCACCAAGGCGGUGAUACAUAGCCGACCUGAGAGGGUGAUCGGCCACAUUGGGACUGGGACACGGACCAAACUCCUACGGGAGGCAGCAGUAGGGAAUCUUCGGCAAUGGACGGAAGUCUGACCGAGCAACGCCGCGUGAGUGAAGGAGGUUUUCGGAUCGGAAAACUCUGUUGGUAGAGAAGAACGUUGGUGAGAGUGGAAAGCUCAUCAAGUGACGGUAACUACACAGAAAGGAACGGCUAACUACGUG